AUCAAAGUGGCGCAAUGGAAGUGUGGUGGGCCCAUAACCCAUAGGUUCCAAGAUCGAAACUUGGAUUUGAUA
Molecule: non-coding RNA, 72 nt
Organism: Gossypium hirsutum (cotton)
Lineage: Eukaryota; Viridiplantae; Streptophyta; Magnoliopsida; Malvales; Malvaceae
Source: Rfam